ACUUGAGAGGCACGCCGCGACAUUAUUUGCGUCUGAUUUGAGAAGACAACAAAAACUUGUAAAACAUACUAUAUAAGUUCAAAACAAUAGAAACCAAGACCUGAAAAUGGUUUUGUUGAAUUACCAUGAAAAGCUUUACUUCCACAAAUCUGAAUCUUGCUCCAGCUUUUGUUUUUUUCUCUAGAACUUGAUCUCUCACGUUUU
Molecule: long non-coding RNA, 204 nt
Organism: Arabidopsis thaliana (thale cress)
Lineage: Eukaryota; Viridiplantae; Streptophyta; Magnoliopsida; Brassicales; Brassicaceae
Product: other RNA
Exons: 1
Source: RefSeq